UGGUACUACCCACAGGUCAGGCAUCCACUGGGGUUUUGGAACAUAUUCCCCUUGGAUAAGGGAGGAUACUAUAUACAUUGUUGAACAGCUAAAUCAAGCUAUUUAUAAAUGCACACACUUUUUUAUGGUAAAAACACUUAAAAAUCUCUAAGCAAUUUUCUAGUAUAAAAUAUAUUAUUAACCAUAGUCGCCAUGGUGUUCCGCAGAUCUCUUGAAUUUAUUCCUCCUAAAUAAAAUUAUGUAUCCUUUGACCAACAUCUCACCAACCCCUCACCCCCAGCCUCCAUAACCACCAUUUCACCUUUCUGUCUGUGAUACUAUCCCCCUCUUCAAAAGCCUGGCGCUUUAAGUGACUCAUACUUAAAAGUAGGAUGGAUAUUUUAUCCACAGAUUAUCACUGAAGUCCCCUUGUAACAGAUGUCUUCUAUUACAUAAGGGAAAGUUCUAACUCCAUCAUUUGUGGCCACCCAAAAGAAUGAAAGUAGAAAGAAAAGUCCAUAUACUGGAAUUCAAAUUCAUAGCAAUGGUGUCAUCAAGCAUCAGUUUCUGGUAACCCAAUCUUCCAUUAAUCAACAAGUAUUUACUGUAAACCCACCAUGUGUCAAGUCCUGUACUAUUUAUUCCAACACAGUUAAGUAUUAAGACAUGAGCACUGCUCUCUAAGAAAUUAAAGCCAAUAUGAACAAAACACAUACCUACAGAGUUGGGCCCCAGGUUCAAUCUUAAAUGUCAAAGAAUGCCUCCUAGAGGGACAAAAACACCUUACAAAACAACUCAUCCUCCUAUGGGGCUUAAGGUUUAUGGAGGCUACAUAAAAGGAACAAACCAUUAUCUACAAGGAAGGUAAGUCUAGCCUUACCACUGUGUACUAUUUGGUCCCAAAUGAGUCACCUAGUGAAUAUUCAUGAGCAAUCAGUUGUAAACUUUUCCCUUUCCCCUACUUCAUCCACACUAUGCACAAAAGAAAACAAGAAAGCAGAUUCUGUAGCAAUCAUUCAUACUCAAUAUCACCUCUCCUUUAUUCUCACUAUACAGCCAGGCUAAAAAGAAAGAAUAACAUCUGAAUCCUGAUAUACUGCUACCUUAACAUGCCAGUUAUGAGCUCACAUCCACUGCCUAACAGUCUCCCAGACAGACACAACCUGAAGUGGUCAAGGUGACAGCAUAAAUAUCCAUCAUUCUUUUCUUCCCCUAAAAAUAUGCCAGCACACUGCUCAAACCCUGAGAAAUAAGUCUAGGCAGAGACAGAAAGGGCUUGAGCCACAAAGAGUUUUCCCUCUUUUCUAUUCAUCUGCUUCUGUUUUAAACAUAUAUUUUUUAAUAUAUUAGAAAUUACAAGUGUGAUAGCCUGAAUAAACAGGCCAACAGAAGGAUCGUAAGAUAAAGUUGAGGAUAUCUCCUAGACACACUUAAAAAGUGCAUAUAUCUAAUCCAACCAAUUCAUUUCACAGGUCAAAUUUUUGAAGCUUAGAAGGAUCUUGUACUUUACCCAAAACUGUAUUAAAGCAAGACCAGAUCCAAGGUUUUAUUUGGCCUUCUACCUCAGGGCCUUUCUACUACAAUAUGCUUCUCUCCAUGUUUUUUGAAACCUCUCAUACUCCACUUCUCAUUUUUUGAUAUAAAAUAAAUCUUUGUGAGUGUUCUAUUUCUUCCUGUAUAACUCUGCUGUCAUUACCUCCACCCAAAAGUGAAGAGUCAGGCCCUUAUAGCUGGAAGGGGAAGAAAAUUAAAGAGUUCAUCCACAGCUCAACAGUCUGUGCAGUAAGAUCACCCUAACUAUUUCAAUAUGCUGAGAAACACAAAUCCCACAUAGAGAGGAAGUUGGAAGAAAACUCAUUUCCCCUAUAUACCUAUAGAGGCUUUUUACAUUAAGGUAUCCAUUCCCUCAAGCAUUUAUCCUUUGAGUUACAAUCCGAAUACACUUGAAGCUAUUUUUAAAUGUACAAUUAAGUUGCUAUUGACUAUAGUCACCCUAUUGUGCUAUCAAACAGAAGGUCUUAUUCAUUCUUUCUAAUUUUUGGUACCCAUUAACCCUCACUACCUCUCCCCUGCCCACAAAUAAAAGCAUAUAACUACAGGCUUGUCAAGAAUUCUAUUUUUUUGUUUCAUCUGAUAGUUUUCACUACAGUUAGAAAUUACCAAAGAGCUUGCCACACUCUCUGCAAAAAAAUAUACUUCAAAAGUAUUUUAGGGAAGACAUGUUUACCCAGAUAAUCAAAAGUUAAAAGCAUAAAGUGAAGAUGUUUUCCAGGUAAUCUGAGAAGGGCUCAAGACAAUGAAGAACCUGCAGGUACUUGUUUUUUUCAUUAUUCAUAUAUUCAGUUAACAAUAUUUGUUGACAUUUGAUAUCUAUUUACUAACAGGUCAACUUAUACUACAACAGAUUGUAUCCUAAGAAACCCAACAUCUAGUUUAGGAGAUAGUGUGCCAUAAUAGAUCAUGCUCUUGGGAUCAAAAAAUACCCUUGCUUCAAAUUCCAAUUCUGCCACAGUUGUAUGAAUCUAGGAAAAUUACUUAACCACUGCAUCUCUUUUUCAUGGGGGGAGAAGGUAUUUUAAGUUUACAAAAAGAUGAUAAUUGUUUUCUAGGAAUGUAGUAAGGAUCAAAUGAUGUUAUAUACAGAAGCCCUGUUGCAGGACUAUAGAAGAUAUCCAGGGGAUACUAGCUUCCUUUGGAAAAUGCAAACUUUUCUUCAUUCUCCACUAGGGCAGUAAGAUCAAUUUGUCAUUUAUUGGAGUUUAGUUUUAAUUUUAAUUGUAUAUAAAUGUAUAUAUUUAUGCAGGUAACAAAUGUAUAUAUUUAUGGCAUACAUGGUGUUUUUAUAUGUACAGUAGACCCCCCCCCCCACCGCUUAUCCACAGUUUCCCUGAGGUUAUGUAUGUAUAUAACAUAUUCUGAUGUUAUAUACAGAAGCCCUGUGCCUGGACUAUAGAAGAUACUCAGGGGUUGUUAGCUUCCUUUGGAAAAUGCAAACUUUUCUUCAUUCUCUACCAGGGCAGUAAGACCAACUUGUCAUUUAUUGGAGUUUAGUUUUAAUUUUUAACCACCUCACUCUACCCUAUACACACACUCCACUGAUUUUACAAAGAAUGUUUUUAAACACAAUUCAUACUGUAGCAAAUUAACCCAGGUGAUCUUUGUUGAAGGUUUUCAAAAAGACAUAGGCCUUAGCUUUAAGAUUACUUUCACAUGAGGUGAUAUUUAUUUUGUCACCUUACAGUUAAAUAAAUGACAAGGAACAGCUGAUAUUGUCCAAGUAUCACAGUUUGAGAAACAAAAGUGGGGAGAAGUUAUAUGGAGAGAAGUAAAGAGAUACACGUUAUAAAGAAAAGGCAGUAAUAUGUGAGUGGAUACACUCACAGACCUGCAGAGCACGGCAUCACUCCCAAGAGGUAGUGAUGUGUGUGAAAAUACUUUAGCUGUCCAGAAGAGGACCGGUGUCUACCAAAGGUAGAAUUUUCACCUUGAACUAAACACUGCCAAUUAUGCACAUGUGACAAGAAUAAAUCUCAAGGAGCUCACAGAGAGUUACAACACUAGGCAAUUCUCUACAGCAGUGGUGUGCAUUGUUAUUGAGGGAACAUACAUGUUCUUCUCCAAUGCUGGAGGGAUACUCAGUGCUCCGAAGGAGCACAGAUGAAGGAGUAAUUCAUUCUACCUGGUGGACUAGAAAACCAAAGUUUGCCAGGUGUUAAAUACUUGUCAGGACAGUGAUUCCAAACAAGGGAGCCACAUGAGUAAGAGUUCAGCGAUAUGAAAAGGCUGUGUGGUUACAGACAUGCGGGAUCAGGUCUCAUGGAGAGAGGUUCAUGAAGAUGAGGCUGGAGAAGCAGACUGAGGCAGUUUGUAAAAAGCCUUACAGACCACACUGCAGAGUUUCUUUUUUCUUUUCUUUUUAAUUUUUUUAUUUCCAUAGGUUUUUGGGGAACAAGUAGUAUUUGGUUACAUGAGUAAGUUCUUUAGUGUUGAUUUGUGACUUGAUCAUUCCAUGACGAAGGGACAGCAAAGCUUUUGAAACAGAUGUCACAACUCAAAGGAAGCCUGAAUUAAGAAAGUGGUAUGGAAACUCAUUAUUUCUUUCCUUCACUCAUUUGUACCAACUAUACAAAAUACUGGGGCUACAAAGUUAAAAUAUUGAAAAUAAAACCCAGACAUAGCCCCUGCUAUAAUGAAACUUACAAACUAGCAAAGAUAGUAGUCAUUAAAUAAUUACAAAAUUUUAAACACAAUCAUAGUAUUUAAUUGGGGAGCUAUAAGGAAGAAACAGUUGCUGAGAAAGAAUGCCAGGGACAGCACUGAGGAACAUUUCAGAAAGAGGCACACAUAUGACACUUGGUGAUCAAUUGGAAGUGCAGCAAGGAGAAGAGAAGAUGGUUCCAGGAUUUCCAGCUUAUAUACUGGAUGGAUACUGGUGCUGUUAAGCACAGUGAUAGAAGAACAAAACAAGGAAUGGGAAAGCCACUUUAUGGCUAGUUUGCUUUGGAUCAGAAAGAGCUUUAAGCACCAACUGACAUCCAAGUGAAGUUCACCAGUUGCACCAGAAGGACUGCAGCUCAGGAGAGUCAGAGGUUGGAAAGAGAUUUGGGAAAAGACAGGGUCAAGGAUGAAUGGUGGGUAAAGUGUUAGUGGUACUCUUAUAACCUUUUUCCCACUAAUAAUUUUCUAUAGUGAAAAUAGUAUUAAAUGCUCCCCACUGCCCCUCAGUAAUAAUGAAGAAAAGAAGAUACCUCCCAAUAGUCUAUUUUCACCUAAGUCCAUGCCAGAUAACUCUGAAAGGGGCAGUCAGUCCCCAGACCAGCAGCAUCAACAUCACCUGGAACUUAUCAAUGCAAAGUUUAGGGCCCCACCCAGGACCUAUUAAAUUAGAAAUUCUGGGGGUGGGUACAGCAAUCUGUUUUAGAAAACCUCCAGGUAAUGCUGAUGCACUCUCAGGUCUGCGAGACACUGGGCCUGCCCAUUAUAAAAAUGUUAAACAUUUAAGAAAAUAACUAUCUCGUUUUAGCUGUUAGUUAUGUUUAGUGGAAAAACUCAAGGUUUCUGUUUGCCUGGAGGGUUCUCUCAUCCGUACUUUAAACAUGUGUAGAAUAUCUGAUCUAUGCAGAGUAGUGUGUUUGUUGAGGGAGACUAAGUGUAAGGCAUAAAUAUGGUCUCUGCCAUCGGGGAACUGUCAUCUGGUUGAGGAGACAAUAUACACAUCUGAAAAGUUAAACAAGUAGAUAAGUGGUACAGUUCAACAGAAGCAGCAGGUGAGGAUUUAAAGUGCUAAACAAUAAGGGCUGUAAUCCCAGCACUUUGGGAGGCCGAGGCGGGCGGAUCACGAGGUCAGGAGAUCGAGACCAUCCCAGCUAAAACGGUGAAACCCCGUCUCUACUAAAAAUACAAAAAAUUAGCCGGGCGUAGUGGCGGGCGCCUGUAGUCCCAGCUACUUGGGAGGCUGAGGCAGGAGAAUGGCGUGAACCCGGGAGGCGGAGCUUGCAGUGAGCCGAGAUCCCGCCACUGCACUCCAGCCUGGGCGACAGAGCGAGACUCCGUCUCAAAAAAAAAAAAACAAUAAGGGCACUAAGAGCCACAAGCUAGGGGAAUAGUGGAAGGCAGGAGUUAGACCUAUGAUAAUCAAGCCUGACAGGGCUAAGUUUGAACUCUGUAUGAACUUUUAAUGAGAUAUAGCAGAACCCCUUAUUUGCAUCUCGUCCCUCUAAGAUGAGGUUUGCUGAGCUUCGGAAAUGGUUUAAUGAUAUACUCAAGAUGGAAAAGACUUGAAGUGAGUAAAUUACAGUUGGGCAAAUCAGUAACUGUCAAAAGAAGGAACGUUCCUGACCUCGGCCCAAGGGUAUCGCUGUGCUCUGGUUUGUAUUAGCUUCAGCACCGCUGCAAUCUCACUGAAGGUCAAGUUCCCUUUUAAUAAUGCUUUAUAUAUCCAAGUCUAUCUGCAGUUAUAAAAAUGCUUCCUAAGAGGCAUUUAAGAGUAAAAUGGUCCAGUUCUGAACCAUUCCCUAGCACCUACCGAAGGAGCUCAGUGGCUCCUCUGUGUUCUCAGCGGUCAGGGAUUGGAUGCAGGAAAGAGCAAUGGGGCCAGGCAGGCACGCUUCAGGAGUAAGCACCGUGUGCAUGGCACGCUGUCAAGCUCAGACCUAUUACUGAAUACCAAGGAAGAGGCUCCCGCGAUUGAGACGGCGGGGAUAAAGCCACCCUCCUGGACCUGGCGCUCUGGUCCUGUAAUUCGCUCCUAGGGCUCCAGACAGGGGUGGGCUUACAAGCGAGGACAGUGCAUAAGGCAAAACCACAAGUCAGUCCACGGUGGGAAUGCCUCCGGAUACCACUCGGUGGAGAGUCGGCAGUGGGGCACAAAAAGGAUUUCAAAGGGCUCUGAAAACCGAAAGCCCCUAACCCGGAUACGAGGGGCCUCGAGAGAAAGCUUACUUUGUGCUCACCAUCAUCCUUUGGCCUUUCUUCUCUAACACAGUUCCUGUAUCCAGCCUCAUGCUUUGCUGUGCCUGUAACUGUCUUCUCCCCACAGAUAACCUGUCAUUGAAGUACAUGAAGAAAAUAGUCAAAUAUGUGCCCAUGGGUUUUCCUGAGUACUUCCUACAGGGUAUGCAGUCCACUCUGAAGAUCACAGCCUAGGACCAUAAGUAUGCAGUGAAUAUCUUAAAGACAAUAAAGCUCUAUCCACAGAA
Molecule: long non-coding RNA, 6677 nt
Organism: Homo sapiens (human)
Lineage: Eukaryota; Metazoa; Chordata; Mammalia; Primates; Hominidae
Exons: 3
Source: RefSeq, a predicted model, not a curated record